This 498-nucleotide ribosomal RNA is filed under the name uncultured bacterium. RNAcentral describes it as "partial 16S ribosomal RNA". It matches the Rfam family "Bacterial small subunit ribosomal RNA", at positions 28 to 507 of the family's 1533-position model. The record is from RNAcentral.
GACGAACGCUGGCGGCGUGCCUAAUACAUGCAAGUCGAGCGGACUUUCAAGAAGCUUGCUUUUUGAAAGUUAGCGGCGGACGGGUGAGUAACACGUGGGCAACCUGCCUGCAAGACGGGGAUAACUUCGGGAAACCGGGGCUAAUACCGGAUAAUAUCUUCCUUCGCAUGAAUGAAGGUUGAAAGGCGGCGCAAGCUGCCGCUUGCAGAUGGUCCCGCGGCGCAUUGGCUAGUUGGUGAGUUAACGGCUCACCAAGGCGACGAUGCGUAGCCGACCUGGGGGGGUGAUCGGCCACAAUGGGACUGAGACACGGUCCAGACUCCUACGGGAGGCAGCAGUAGGGAAUCUUCCGAAAUGGGCGAAAGCCUGACGGAGCAACGCCGCGUGAGUGAUGAAGGUCUUCGGAUCGUAAAACUCUGUUGUUAGGGAAGAACAAAUAUCGUAGGAACUGUGCGCGUCUUGGCGGGACCUUAUCAGAAAAGCACGGCUAACUACGGG